This 603-nucleotide long non-coding RNA is filed under the name Mus pahari (shrew mouse). Its description in RNAcentral is "predicted gene 27175 (MGP_PahariEiJ_G0003924.1)". The record is from RNAcentral. Lineage: Eukaryota; Metazoa; Chordata; Mammalia; Rodentia; Muridae.
GCCCCGGGGAACCGGCAGCGUGGCUUCGUGGCUCUGCCCCAGGCUGGAACUGAGCGGGAUGCAAACGCGCGCGCUGCUGCGACUGCUCUCCCGGCUCCUUUCCCCCACAGUCCUCCGCGCGCCUCACCUUCACGGAGUCCACCGGGUACAUGAUGGAGUGCUCCAGAAUCCCGGCCAUCGCUCCCGCUGUCAUGUGGGUGGACACCGAGGCGCUGGUCGCUGUCAUAGAGGAACCUUGCUGGCCCCCUUCCAGCUUCUAGAAGCUCCCUACUACCUCAAUGUUCUUUGUAUGAGGUCAGAAAGCAAGAAAGACAACGGAGGAACAAGCCACUCCCUGGCAGCACAGGCCUGGGAGCAGAGAUCUCUGUUUAAGAGAGCCCACUCUCUACCUACAGGCAGGGCACUGAAAACUUCUUUGGCAAUUGCUAAGAGUAGCUAAGCAGUAAGUAUGUCUCCAGGAGAUGUGUUGGCUCCCCUGCAACUACCCAUCUAUAGCAUCUAGAAGGAAACAAAGUAUGGUGGAAAGGAAGCAGUGCUGAUUCUUACUCAUGGGAUGCUCAAGCCUUGAAUUAGUGCCUCCAUUUCUCUGGACCAUAUUCCUGU